UCCGCUGCUCAGUUGGUAAAGCACAAAGCUCUUAACCUUGUGGACGUGGGUUCAAAGCCCCAUGGUGGAG
RNAcentral lists this transfer RNA (70 nucleotides) under Triticum aestivum (bread wheat). It matches the Rfam family "tRNA". Rfam says of the family: Transfer RNA (tRNA) molecules are approximately 80 nucleotides in length. The record is from Rfam by way of RNAcentral. Lineage: Eukaryota; Viridiplantae; Streptophyta; Magnoliopsida; Poales; Poaceae. RNAcentral also lists the same sequence under 1 other name.